Molecule: non-coding RNA, 236 nt
Filed under: Anaerosporobacter mobilis
Lineage: Bacteria; Bacillati; Bacillota; Clostridia; Lachnospirales; Lachnospiraceae
Description: T-box sequence
Rfam family: T-box leader
About the family: Uncharged tRNA acts as the effector for transcription antitermination of genes in the T-box leader family. T-boxes are found upstream of many aminoacyl-tRNA synthetase genes and some amino acid biosynthetic genes usually in Gram-positive bacteria.
Source: RNAcentral
AAAAAACCGUUGAGAAAGAGGAGUAAUUCUUAUACGAUAUCACAGAGAGCUGCUGUUGGUGGGAAUGCAGUAUGGAGUGUAUGAAUGAAUGGGCUUUCGAGGGCAACCCCGAAUAUUUAGUAGGCGUUGACGGGAACCAUACCUGUUACAAAUAUGGCACAUAUGAUAGUAUGUGAAAAGAGUGGGCAUUAGCCAAUUUGAGUGGUACCGCGGAAUUGUUAGAAUCCGUCUCAGGA